AGAAUCAACGCUGGCGGCGUGCCUCAGACAUGCAAGUCGAACGCGAAAGUCCCCUUCGGGGGACAAGUAGAGUGGCGCACGGGUGAGUAACACGUAGGUAAUCUACCUUCGGAUGGGGAAUAACAACCGGAAACGGUUGCUAAUACCGCAUAAUGCAGCGGCACCUAAUGGUGACGGUUGUUAAAGCGGGGGAUCGAAAGACCUCGCGUCUGAAGAGGAGCCUGCGGCGGAUUAGCUAGUUGUAGGGUAACGGCCUACCAAGGCGACGAUCCGUA
RNAcentral lists this ribosomal RNA (275 nucleotides) under uncultured soil bacterium. Its description in RNAcentral is "partial 16S ribosomal RNA". It matches the Rfam family "Bacterial small subunit ribosomal RNA", at positions 26 to 285 of the family's 1533-position model. The record is from RNAcentral.